This 4256-nucleotide long non-coding RNA is filed under the name Homo sapiens (human). Its description in RNAcentral is "non-protein coding lnc-TTC23-3:7". The record is from RNAcentral. Lineage: Eukaryota; Metazoa; Chordata; Mammalia; Primates; Hominidae.
UGUUGGUACCAAGGUUCUCUGUGGGGUGCAGGGAUGACCACUGGAGAAAAGGCCAGCCCUGCCUUCCGCUGCUGCCUCAGGCUGGUCCCCGUGCCUCGCUCAGGCGGGCCAGUGACCCUCCUCACCAGCCAUGGCUUCUCUUGUGACAGGCCCAACGGCAGGCCAGGUCCUGAACCCCGCAGGGAGGCCGGCCUAUCAGGUCUUCACAUGGCUGGGGGCACAGCCAGCCACCAGCAUCCUUGUGCUGUCCCCAUGGGGAAGAGAAGGGAACGAUGUGUUCAUAGACGCCAGGGCAAGUGGGCACGGGCAGCGCACGGAGGAAAAAGUGACUCCAAUCAGAAGGGGAGUGGGUCUUGGCAAUACACGUCUGGGUGGUCAGUCCCCAGAGGUGGGCACUGGGCUGAGCUCUCUCUCAUCCGACGCCACCCCUGGGUGACGGGAUGAGGGAGCAACUGAGAGCCGGCAGUGAGGUGACACACCCAAGGUCACGCCACCAGCAGAGGUAGCUGGUCACGCUGCUGAGAGCCGGCAGGAAAUAGAUGCGGACAAAGCAGGGUCGGUUUUCAGCUUCUCUCCACGGAAAGGCCGGCUGAAGUUUCCCUCACCACGCAGAAAUCGAUAAGCAGGAGGUUUUUAAAAACCACCUCCCCAUUGAACCUGCCACUGCCGGAGCUGAAGCUGGGCUGCCAGGGGGAGGGCACCGCUGAGGCCUUCUAGGCCCAGACGGGCUGAGAGAGCCCCCGCCCCCCACCCCAGCCUCACCCUCCACCCGAGGCCCCUGUCAUGGGUGUGGGUGACUCAGAGGAAGUUCUGGUUUCUGUCAGAUUUUGAGGCUGAGGCAACCUGAUCCUGAAACAAUGACAAGCCUCAGAACGGUCCUUCCCACUCCCUCAGAGGAGCGUUUCAGGCCUGGCCAAUAACACAGCAGAACGGAAAAUGACUUUGGGAAGGAAAGGUCAGGCGGCUAGGCCUCCCAUGGAAGGCAGCAGGCGGUUGCUCAGGUCAGAGGGCCAAGUGGCGCGGUCUGUGGGCACCGGCAGCUGGCAGUGACCCUGCAGAUCAACCUGGGCCCGGGCUGCAGACACCAAGCAGGGGCACCUGCCUGGCCUGGCUGCCUCAUGUGGCCCCCACAGCCUUUGUCAGGACACCUCAGGACAGUGGCCUGGCCUCUAGGCCAGUGGGCCAGCUCGGGGUGCUAAAGCCUAAUUUGCCUGGAGCCCCGGGCCACUCAUAGAUUCAGGAGGAAGAGGUGGGGUAGAGGUGGCAGAGGGAGAGCAGAGCCUGGCACACAGCAUUUGGCACCAUAACUGAGGCAGCUGCUUUCCUUAAGGAGCUGCCACUGACAGGAUCAGCACUUACAGAGCCCCUGCUGUAUGCCAGGAAGUACAUUUAUUAUUGCUUCUUGUCACAUUGGCCCUGCCAGGUAUGUACCCCAAACAUUAGCCUCAUUUCACAGAUAAGAAAAUUGAGGCUUCCGUGAUUAAGCAGAGGCUGUGAUGUCCCAUCCAGAGCCCCAGCCACCCAGCUCUCCUGCAGGACAGGAGAUACCUACUAGCCUGCUUCUCGAUUAUUCUUUUCUUCCCUGCCACCUUGGGAAUAUCCCUCCCACUUGCAAGCACAGGUCGGCUAUGCCAGGGGAGUCUGUGCCCCAGGGCCCCUUCAUCCAUGGGGAUGGGAGUCUGUAGAAAUGCUCACCUCCGCCCUCUCCAGUGGGGACAUUGGAGGCCUGUGUCCCACAGUCUCCCUGAGGGCCCAGUGGGUUGAGCCCAUUGCCCGCAGUGGAAACCCCUCAUUCAUGGACCUGUCUCCCUCCCCUGCCUCCCCCUCCACCUCCACCCCUAAAGUUGUGUUAUGGAAGUGAACUUGUUCCUGACUGGCAGAUGGAUUUAAAUGUAAGAGUGGUCCAUGGGCCCCUCCACGGAGCUGAUGCUGCCCCAGCAUCCUUCCUAUGGCCCUUCAGCCUCUGGCUAUUGGUCUUCCUGUAUCCAUGCACGGCUGAGCUGGAGGCCAACACAGGAGCAGCCAUUCCAGGCAGGUCUGGGCAGGGGUCCCUGGCGUGUAGCUCUGGAGGGAGUGGGGCUGUGUAAGCUCAGCGUCUUGUCUCCCUCACUGAAAAUACAGGACACAAUGGAACAGAAUAGAGAGCCCAGAAAUAAGGCUGAACACCUACAACCAUCUGAUCUUCAACAAAGCUGACAAAAACAAGCAAUGGGGAAAGGACUUCCUUUCAAUAAAUGGUGCUGGGAUAGCUGGCUAGCCAUAUGCAGAAAAUUGAAACUGGACCCCUACCUUACACCAUAUACAAAAAUCAACUCUAGAUGAAGUAAAGACUUAAAGGGAAAAUCUAAAACUAUAAACACCCUGGAAGACACCUUAGUAAAUACCAUUCUGGACAUAGAACUUGGAAAUAUUUCAUGAUAAAGAUGCCAAAGCAAUUGCAACAAAAACAAAAAUUGACAAAUGGAAUCUAAUAAAACUAAAGCACUUCUGCACAGCAAAUCAACAGAAUAAACAGACAACCUAAGAGUAGGAGAAGAUAUUUGCAAACUAUGCAUCUGACAAAGAUCUAAUAUCCAGCAUCUAUAAGGAACUUAAACAAAUGUACAAGCAAAAAACAACCCCAUUCAGAAGUGGGCAAAAGACAUAAACAGACACUUCUCAAAAGAAGACAUACAUGCGGCCAAAAAGCAUAUGAAAAAAUGCUGAAUAUCACUAAGCAUUAGAGAAAUGCAAAUCAAAACCACAAUGAGAUACCAUUGCACACCAAUCAAAAUGCCUAUUUUUUUUUUUUUUUUUUUUGAGACUGAGUUUCGCUCUUUUGCCUGGACUGGAGUGCAGCAGCGCAAUCUCCACUCACUGCAACCUCUGCCUUCCAGUUUCAAGGGAUUCUCCUGCCUCAGCCUCCCAAGUAGCUGGGAUUACAGGCGCCCACCACCACGCCUGGCUAAUUUUUGUAUUUUUAGUAGAGACGGGGUUUCACCACGUUGGCCAGCCUGCUCUUGAACUCCUGGCCUCGUGAUCCACCUCAGCCUCCCAAAGUGCUGGGAUUACAGGUGUAAGCCACUGUGCCCAGCCUGCAGAAUGACUAUUAUUUAAAAGACAAAAAAAAAAAAACAAACCCUGGUGAGGUUGUGGAGAAUAGGAAACACUUAUACACUGUUCAUGGGAGUAUAAAUUAUCUCAGCCAUUGUGGAAAGCAGUGUGGUGAUUCCUCAAAGAACAGAACUACCAUUCAACCCAGCAAUCCUAUUUCUGGGUAUAUACCCCAAAGAAUAUAAAUUGUUCUAUCAUAAAGACACAUGAACACAUACGUUAAUUGCAGCACUAUUCACAAUAGCAAAGAUAUGGAACCAACCUAAAUGCCCAUCAACAGUAGACUGGAUAAAGAAAAUGUGUUACAUAUACACCAGGGAAUACUAUGCAGCCAUAAAAAAGAAUGAGAUCAUGUCCUUUGUGGGAAUGUGGAUGGAACUGGAGCCCAUUAUCCUUAGCAGAGUAAUGCAGGAGACCCAAAUACCACAUGUAUGUUCUCACUUAUAAAUGGGAGCUAAAUGAUAACACAUGGACACACCAAGAGGGGAACAACACACACUGGGGCCUCCUUGAGAGUGGAGAGUGGGAGGAGGGAAAGGAGCAGAAAAACUACCUGUCUGAACUGUGCUUAUCACCUGAGUGACAAAGCAGUCUUUACAGCAACCUCCCGUGACACACAGUUUAUCUAUAUAACAAAUCUACAUAUGUACCCUUGAACCUAAAAUAAAAGUUCAAAAAAAAAAAAAAGAAAAUGGAAAACACAGGACACUGUCCCUCUCCCUCCCCCAGUCAACCCAAGCUGAGAUUUUUCAAGGCCUCUACACCUCUUUUAAAUAAUUCCCAGAUGAUUGAAUUCCCAGAUUGAAGCAAAUGCUCCCAAACAGUGGAGCAACUCGGCCCUGGGGUCUUAAGCCCCCACCUUCCCCAAGAAACGAGACUGGCCUCCUCCUUUUUGCAGGGCAGUGUGGAGCAGUGGAGGAGCAGAGGCAGUGGGCUCCACUCGCAGCUGUGUGGCCUUGAGCAAUGGCAUCUGCCAUUGCUGAGGCUUGAGUAGGUAAACAAAGCUGCCGGGAAGCUCAAACUGGGUGGAGCCCACCGCAGCUCAAAGAGGCCUGCCGACCUCUGUAGACUCCACCUCUGGGGGCAGGGCAUAGCUGAACAAAAGGCAGCAGAAACUUCUGCAGACUUAAACAUCCCUGUCUGACAGCUUUGAAGAGAUUAGU